This 1144-nucleotide ribosomal RNA is filed under the name Bacillus sp. 2RB4. RNAcentral's name for it is "bacterial SSU rRNA". It matches the Rfam family "Bacterial small subunit ribosomal RNA", at positions 60 to 1182 of the family's 1533-position model. Lineage: Bacteria; Bacillati; Bacillota; Bacilli; Caryophanales; Bacillaceae. The record is from RNAcentral.
GGCUCAAGCGGACCAAGGGAAGCUUGAACCCGGAUGUUAGCGGCGGACGGGUGAGUAACACGUGGGUAACCUGCCUGUAAGACUGGGAUAACUCCGGGAAACCGGAGCUAAUACCGGAUAGUUCCUUGAACCGCAUGGUUCAAGGAUGAAAGACGGUUUCGGCUGUCACUUACAGAUGGACCCGCGGCGCAUUAGCUAGUUGGUGGGGUAAUGGCUCACCAAGGCGACGAUGCGUAGCCGACCUGAGAGGGUGAUCGGCCACACUGGGACUGAGACACGGCCCAGACUCCUACGGGAGGCAGCAGUAGGGAAUCUUCCGCAAUGGACGAAAGUCUGACGGAGCAACGCCGCGUGAGUGAUGAAGGUUUUCGGAUCGUAAAGCUCUGUUGUUAGGGAAGAACAAGUGCGAGAGUAACUGCUCGCACCUUGACGGUACCUAACCAGAAAGCCACGGCUAACUACGUGCCAGCAGCCGCGGUAAUACGUAGGUGGCAAGCGUUGUCCGGAAUUAUUGGGCGUAAAGGGCUCGCAGGCGGUUUCUUAAGUCUGAUGUGAAAGCCCCCGGCUCAACCGGGGAGGGUCAUUGGAAACUGGGAAACUUGAGUGCAGAAGAGGAGAGUGGAAUUCCACGUGUAGCGGUGAAAUGCGUAGAGAUGUGGAGGAACACCAGUGGCGAAGGCGACUCUCUGGUCUGUAACUGACGCUGAGGAGCGAAAGCGUGGGGAGCGAACAGGAUUAGAUACCCUGGUAGUCCACGCCGUAAACGAUGAGUGCUAAGUGUUAGGGGGUUUCCGCCCCUUAGUGCUGCAGCUAACGCAUUAAGCACUCCGCCUGGGGAGUACGGUCGCAAGACUGAAACUCAAAGGAAUUGACGGGGGCCCGCACAAGCGGUGGAGCAUGUGGUUUAAUUCGAAGCAACGCGAAGAACCUUACCAGGUCUUGACAUCCUCUGACAACCCUAGAGAUAGGGCUUUUCCCUUCGGGACAGAGUGACAGGUGGUGCAUGGUUGUCGUCAGCUCGUGUCGUGAGAAUGUUGGGGUUAGUCCCGCAACGGAGCCGCAACCCUUGAUCUUAGGUUGCCAGCAUUUAGUUGGGCACUUCUAAGUGACUUGCCGUGACAAACCCGAAGGAAGGUGGGGAAUG